UGAGUAACCUGCCCUAGGCUUUGGGAUAACCCUCGGAAACGGGGGCUAAUACCGGAUAUUCCCGCGGGAUCGCAUGGUUUUGUGGGGAAAGAUUUAUUGGUCUGGGAUGGGCUCGCGGCCUAUCAGCUUGUUGGUGGGGUAGUGGCCUACCAAGGCGACGACGGGUAGCCGGCCUGAGAGGGUGACCGGCCACACUGGGACUGAGACACGGCCCAGACUCCUACGGGAGGCAG
Molecule: ribosomal RNA, 233 nt
Filed under: uncultured bacterium
Lineage: Bacteria
Description: partial 16S ribosomal RNA
Rfam family: Bacterial small subunit ribosomal RNA
Source: RNAcentral